AGUCGAACGAUGAACCGGUGCUUGCACUGGGGAUUAGUGGCGAACGGGUGAGUAACACGUGAGUAACCUGCCCUUAACUCUGGGAUAAGCCUUGGAAACGAGGUCUAAUACUGGAUAUUGACUUUUCCUCGCAUGGGGAUUGGUUGAAAGAUUUAUUGGUUUUGGAUGGACUCGCGGCCUAUCAGCUUGUUGGUGAGGUAAUGGCUCACCAAGGCGACGACGGGUAGCCGGCCUGAGAGGGUGACCGGCCACACUGGGACUGAGACACGGCCCAGACUCCUACGGGAGGCAGCAGUGGGGAAUAUUGCACAAUGGGCGAAAGCCUGAUGCAGCGACGCCGCGUGAGGGAUGACGGCCUUCGGGUUGUAAACCUCUUUCAGUAGGGAACAAGGCCAGACGUUGUCUGGUUGAGGGUACUUGCAGAAGAAGCGCCGGCUAACUACGUGCCAGCAGCCGCGGUAAUACGUAGGGCGCAAGCGUUAUCCGGAAUUAUUGGGCGUAAAGAGCUCGUAGGCGGUUUGUCGCGUCUGCCGUGAAAGUCCGGGGCUCAACUCCGGAUCUGCGGUGGGUACGGGCAGACUAGAGUGAUGUAGGGGAGACUGGAAUUCCUGGUGUAGCGGUGAAAUGCGCAGAUAUCAGGAGGAACACCGAUGGCGAAGGCAGGUCUCUGGGCAUUAACUGACGCUGAGGAGCGAAAGCAUGGGGAGCGAACAGGAUUAGAUACCCUGGUAGUCCAUGCCGUAAACGUUGGGCACUAGGUGUGGGGGACAUUCCACGUUUUCCGCGCCGUAGCUAACGCAUUAAGUGCCCCGCCUGGGGAGUACGGCCGCAAGGCUAAAACUCAAAGGAAUUGACGGGGGCCCGCACAAGCGGCGGAGCAUGCGGAUUAAUUCGAUGCAACGCGAAGAACCUUACCAAGGCUUGACAUGAACUGGAAACGCUUGG
Molecule: ribosomal RNA, 945 nt
Filed under: Arthrobacter alpinus
Lineage: Bacteria; Bacillati; Actinomycetota; Actinomycetes; Micrococcales; Micrococcaceae
Description: bacterial SSU rRNA
Rfam family: Bacterial small subunit ribosomal RNA
Source: RNAcentral